This 483-nucleotide ribosomal RNA is filed under the name uncultured bacterium. Its description in RNAcentral is "partial 16S ribosomal RNA". It matches the Rfam family "Bacterial small subunit ribosomal RNA", at positions 28 to 507 of the family's 1533-position model. The record is from RNAcentral.
GACGAACGCUGGCGGCGUGCUUAACACAUGCAAGUCGAACGCUGAAGCUCAGCUUUUGUUGGGUGGAUGAGUGGCGAACGGGUGAGUAACACGUGAGUAACCUGCCCCCUUCUUUGGGAUAACGCCCGGAAACGGGUGCUAAUACUGGAUAUUCACUGGUCUUCGCAUGGGGGUUGGUGGAAAGGGUUUUUCUGGUGGGGGAUGGGCUCGCGGCCUAUCAGCUUGUUGGUGGGGUGAUGGCCUACCAAGGCUUUGACGGGUAGCCGGCCUGAGAGGGUGACCGGUCACAUUGGGACUGAGAUACGGCCCAGACUCCUACGGGAGGCAGCAGUGGGGAAUAUUGCACAAUGGGCGCAAGCCUGAUGCAGCGACACCGCGUGAGGGAUGGAGGCCUUCGGGUUGUGAACCUCUUUCGCUCAUGGUCAAGCCGCAACAAUGGUUGUGGUGAGGGUAGUGGGUAAAGAAGCGCCGGCUAACUACGUG